CGUAUGCAAAAGCAAAUAUAGAGUAUAAAACCAUCGGUAUCAAUGAACUUUAAGGAACAUGUGGCAUACACGUCUAAUAGUAGCUGUGAAUGAUGAAGUGUUUUCAAUAACAAGGACAUAUGUUUUGUAUGGGGCAGGACAUGUAGGACUGCACAGCCCAAAUCAAUUACAAUUUUCUGGUCAAAAAGCUUCCAACUUAUGUCAACUUUUACAAGCAACAUCCUCAAAACUUUUUCACCAAUUACUCCAUUCCUUUUCAUUAAAUUUACAACCAAAUAUAAACUGUGAUGUGAUCCUCAUAAAAGUCUCCAUGUGAGAAAAAGUUAAAGCAUUUUGGCCCAACCUUACCACUUGAAAGAACCAAAACUAAGGACACUAUCCAACAAAGCAACAGGCAGAGGCCUGCAUACACCAAGGUACAAAUGAAACAACAUUUCCCACGACAUAUCUCUUGUUUGGUAGCUAAGAAAAUAUACAAUCCUUACAUAUUUCCCACAAAUAAUUGAGAUAAUUUUACCACUCUAAUCUGGUUAGAAAGAGAGAGGAAAGGGCAGAAGCAUUGUAGCAGUCAAUUUAUCAACUCCCUGACAAAAACAAAACUGUAACUAGGUGAUAUUUUCACCAUUUAUUUUACUCGUAAAUUUCGGAGGAAUCAAGGAUUG
RNAcentral lists this long non-coding RNA (662 nucleotides) under Gossypium barbadense (sea-island cotton). RNAcentral's name for it is "long non-coding RNA (GBAR_LNC018439)". The record is from RNAcentral. Lineage: Eukaryota; Viridiplantae; Streptophyta; Magnoliopsida; Malvales; Malvaceae.